Molecule: ribosomal RNA, 1038 nt
Filed under: Riukiaria falcifera
Lineage: Eukaryota; Metazoa; Arthropoda; Diplopoda; Polydesmida; Xystodesmidae
Description: partial large subunit ribosomal RNA
Source: RNAcentral
GUGAUUAUUAAGGUUAAUUUUAAUUAUUAUAAUAUAUUAGAUUAGUAUUAUGAGUGAGCGUUGUGAAGUUUUAUAGAUUAAUAGUACUGUUGAGGAAUUAGAUAUAUUUAUUUAUAAUAUUAGGUUAUUUAGUACCUUUUGUAUUAGGGUUUAUUAAUGUGUUUUGAUUUUAAUUUUUUCUCGAUGAAUAUCGAGCUAUUUUGUUGGGUGUUGUUUUUGUUGAAUAAAAUUAAUUACAGCUUUAUAGUUAUGAAAUAUUAUUCAAGUUAUUUUUUAUCUAGUUUUCUAAGAAAUAUAAUUAAAGAUAUUUGUAUUAUAAAUAUAUGUUGGGAUUAGCUGGCUUAUUGUUUGUAUGUUUUGUGGAAUUUAUUUUAUUAGUGGAGUUAAAAGUUCUUAUUUAUAGGAUGUUAUUAUUUAUUAGAGUUUAUUUUUAUUAUUUUUUGAGAUUGUAUUGAGAUUAGGAAUAUUAAUCUAAUUUGGAUUUGGUGUUAUAAUGAUAAAAUUAGUAAUAUUUGAAUUUGUUAAUUUGGUUUAUAAAUUUUUUUGUAUGUAGAAGGAGUUUAUAUUAAUAUUGAAUAAUUAGGCAAAAUUAGCUUUUGACUGUUUAGCAAAAACAUUGUUUUUUGUUUGGAUAAAAAAUAAGGUCUGUCCGCUGCUUAAUAGUGAAGGGCUGCAGUAUUUUGACUGUAUGAAGGUAGCAUAAUCAUUAGUUUUUUAAUUGGAAACUGGUAUGAAGGUGAAACAGGGGCUUUCUAUUUUAAUAUUAAUUAAUGAAUUUUAUUUUUAUGUGAAAAAUCAUAAGUGAGUUAAAGGGACAAGAAGACCCUAGUAAGUUUUAUUUUUUAUUGUGAGGGAUAUAUAGUUUAUUUAAUUAAUGUAUUUUGUGAUUUAAGAAUUUGACUGGGGCGGUAUGUAAUUAAACAUUAUUUAAUAUUUAAUUUUUGAUAGCGUGAGUUGGACCUGAGGUGGUCAGUUAAAGGUUAAAUUACUGUAGGGAUAACAGCGUAAUUUUUUUUGAGAGUUCUUAUUGACAGAAGA